ACUCCUACGGGAGGCAGCAGUGGGGAAUUUUGGACAAUGGGCGAAAGCCUGAUCCAGCAAUGCCGCGUGCAGGAUGAAGGCCUUCGGGUUGUAAACCGCUUUUGUACGGAACGAAAAAGCUCCUUCUAAUACAGGGGGCCCAUGACGGUACCGUAAGAAUAAGCACCGGCUAACUACGUGCCAGCAGCCGCGGUAAUACGUAGGGUGCGAGCGUUAAUCGGAAUUACUGGGCGUAAAGCGUGCGCAGGCGGUUAUGUAAGACAGAUGUGAAAUCCCCGGGCUCAACCUGGGAACUGCAUUUGUGACUGCAUGGCUAGAGUACGGUAGAGGGGGAUGGAAUUCCGCGUGUAGCAGUGAAAUGCGUAGAUAUGCGGAGGAACACCGAUGGCGAAGGCAAUCCCCUGGACCUGUACUGUCGCUCAUGCACGAAAGCGUGGGGAGCAAACAGGAUUAGAUACCCUGGUAGUCCACGCCCUAAACGAUGUCAACUGGUUGUUGGGAGUUAGUUUUCUCAGUAACGAAGCUAACGCGUGAAGUUGACCGCCUGGGGAGUACGGCCGCAAGGUUGAAACUUAAAGGAAUUGACGG
RNAcentral lists this ribosomal RNA (588 nucleotides) under uncultured bacterium. RNAcentral's name for it is "bacterial SSU rRNA". It matches the Rfam family "Bacterial small subunit ribosomal RNA", at positions 335 to 916 of the family's 1533-position model. The record is from RNAcentral.